UGGGGAAUAUUGGACAAUGGGCGCAAGCCUGAUCCAGCCAUACCGCGUGGGUGAAGAAGGCCUUCGGGUUGUAAAGCCCUUUUGUUGGGAAAGAAAUCCAGCUGGUUAAUACCCGGUUGGGAUGACGGUACCCAAAGAAUAAGCACCGGCUAACUUCGUGCCAGCAGCCGCGGUAAUACGAAGGGUGCAAGCGUUACUCGGAAUUAGUGGGCGUAAAGCGUGCGUAGGUGGUCGUUUAAGUCCGUUGUGAAAGCCCUGGGCUCAACCUGGGAACUGCAGUGGAUACUGGGCGACUAGAAUGUGGUAGACGGUAGCGGAAUUCCUGGUGUAGCAGUGAAAUGCGUAGAGAUCAGGAGGAACAUCCAUGGCGAAGGCAGCUACCUGGACCAACAUUGACACUGAGGCACGAAAGCGUGGGGAGCAAACA
This 427-nucleotide ribosomal RNA is filed under the name uncultured bacterium. RNAcentral's name for it is "partial 16S ribosomal RNA". It matches the Rfam family "Bacterial small subunit ribosomal RNA", at positions 355 to 774 of the family's 1533-position model. The record is from RNAcentral.